This 100-nucleotide ribosomal RNA is filed under the name Agaricus campestris. RNAcentral's name for it is "5.8S ribosomal RNA". It matches the Rfam family "5.8S ribosomal RNA", at positions 44 to 143 of the family's 154-position model. From Rfam's summary of the family: 5.8S ribosomal RNA (5.8S rRNA) is a component of the large subunit of the eukaryotic ribosome. It is transcribed by RNA polymerase I as part of the 45S precursor that also contains 18S and 28S rRNA. The record is from RNAcentral. Lineage: Eukaryota; Fungi; Basidiomycota; Agaricomycetes; Agaricales; Agaricaceae.
CGCAGCGAAAUGCGAUAAGUAAUGUGAAUUGCAGAAUUCAGUGAAUCAUCGAAUCUUUGAACGCAUCUUGCGCUCCUUGGUACUCCGAGGAGCAUGCCUG